UAGGGAAUCUUCCGCAAUGGGCGAAAGCCUGACGGAGCAACGCCGCGUGAGUGAAGAAGGAUUUCGGUUCGUAAAGCUCUGUUGUUAGGGAAGAAUGAUUAUGUAGUAACUAUACAUAGUAGAGACGGUACCUAACCAGAAAGCCACGGCUAACUACGUGCCAGCAGCCGCGGUAAUACGUAGGUGGCAAGCGUUGUCCGGAAUUAUUGGGCGUAAAGCGCGCGCAGGUGGUUUAAUAAGUCUGAUGUGAAAGCCCACGGCUCAACCGUGGAGGGUCAUUGGAAACUGUUAAACUUGAGUGCAGGAGAGAAAAGUGGAAUUCCUAAUGUAGCGGUGAAAUGCGUAGAGAUUAGGAGGAACACCAGUGGCGAAGGCGGCUUUUUGGCCUGUAACUGACACUGAGGCGCGAAAGCGUGGGGAGCAAACAGGAUUAGAUACCCUGGUAGUCCACGCCGUAAACGAUGAGUGCUAAGUGUUGGUCUCAUAAGAGAUCAGUGCUGCAGCUAACGCAUUAAGCACUCCGCCUGGGGAGUACGACCGCAAGGUUG
RNAcentral lists this ribosomal RNA (548 nucleotides) under uncultured bacterium. RNAcentral's name for it is "bacterial SSU rRNA". It matches the Rfam family "Bacterial small subunit ribosomal RNA", at positions 355 to 896 of the family's 1533-position model. The record is from RNAcentral.